UGAGUGCACCAAGAAGGGAGAAGAGCAGCUUCCCGGCAGGCUCCAGGAGCUCCGAAUCAUUCCACACCUGGAAAGUUUGCUACAGAAGCCUUAAAAAAGCCAGAUUUUAAAGUGCCUGCUAUUUGUUUUUCAUCUCACCUCCAGCCAUAAUGCUUUGUUUGCAACACAGUAAUUGUUCCACAGCCAGUGAUUCCUCCAUCAAAACACAAGAAAAUGACUCGGAAUGAGUGAGGCAGCCCGAAGAGUGAGAAGAGCCUGACUAGUUAUAGAGCCAGGUCAAAGGGCAAAUCUACUGUCUCCAGCCCCUGCAAGAAGGGCCAAGAAACCAGCGAUAAACAUAAGGGGAUGGAGAUCAUUCUACUUUCCAGAACUCCGUGGAGGUGAAGUAACACAGGCAUACUUUGCUAAACCACCUAAAGUGGGGGCAGGUGGUGAGACCUUCCAAACACUGUUGCCGGAGUAACAACAGCCUUGUGACUUGUUUGGCCAGUAAAAUGUGAUGGGAGUCGUAGUGAGCCAGCUCCAGUCCUAGCCUCAAGAAGCCUCGCAUAUUUCCUUUCUCUCUCUUGGAUCCUUAUUUUCGCCAUGAAGUCUUGGCUAACCUGCUGGAGGAUAAGAGACCUUGGGGCAUGCCAUGCAGCAUCCAGCUACCCAUUCGCUCCCUGGGCAGAGCUGCUGUUAACUGCAGAUGCCUGAGGGAGUCAAGCCGAGACCAGGAGGAAUCCAGCUGAAUUCAGCCCCAAAUGCCAACCUGCA
This is a long non-coding RNA of Hippopotamus amphibius kiboko, 756 nucleotides long. RefSeq lists it as uncharacterized. Lineage: Eukaryota; Metazoa; Chordata; Mammalia; Artiodactyla; Hippopotamidae. The transcript has 4 exons. The record is from RefSeq and is a predicted model, not a curated record.